UAUCAACGCUGGCGGCGUGCCUAACACAUGCAAGUCGUGCGCGAAAGGGGCUUCGGCCCUGAGUAGAGCGGCAAACGGGUGAGUAACACGUGGGUGACCUGCCUUCGAGUGGGGGAUAACGUCCCGAAAGGGACGCUAAUACCGCAUGACAUCCUGCCUUUGGACAGGCGGAGAUCAAAGCCGGGGAUCGCAAGACCUGGCGCUUGAAGAGGGGCCCGCGCCUGAUUAGCUAGUUGGUGAGGUAACGGCUCACCAAGGCAACGAUCAGUAGCCGGCCUGAGAGGGCGGACGGCCACACUGGGACUGAGACACGGCCCAGACUCCUACGGGAGGCAGCAGUGGGGAAUUGUUCGCAAUGGGCGCAAGCCUGACGACGCAACGCCGCGUGGAGGACGAAGAUCUUCGGGUCGUAAACUCCUGUCGAGCGGGAAGAAUCCCUUCCUGGUGAAUAUCCAGGGAGGUUGACGGUACCGCUAAAGGAAGCCCCGGCUAACUCCGUGCCAGCAGCCG
Molecule: ribosomal RNA, 510 nt
Filed under: uncultured bacterium
Lineage: Bacteria
Description: bacterial SSU rRNA
Rfam family: Bacterial small subunit ribosomal RNA
Source: RNAcentral